UACGUAGGUCCCGAGCGUUGUCCGGAUUUAUUGGGCGUAAAGCGAGCGCAGGUGGUUUAUUAAGUCUGGUGUAAAGGCAGUGGCUCAACCAUUGUAUGCAUUGGAAACUGGUAGACUUGAGUGCAGGAGAGGAGAGUGGAAUCCCAUGUGUAGCGGUGAAAUGCGUAGAUAUAUGGAGGAACACCGGUGGCGAAAGCGGCUCUCUGGCCUGUAACUGACACUGAGGCUCGAAAGCGUGGGGAGCAAACAGG
This 251-nucleotide ribosomal RNA is filed under the name uncultured bacterium. RNAcentral describes it as "partial 16S ribosomal RNA". It matches the Rfam family "Bacterial small subunit ribosomal RNA", at positions 524 to 776 of the family's 1533-position model. The record is from RNAcentral.